This is an RNA transcript of Antechinus flavipes (yellow-footed antechinus), 4861 nucleotides long. It is a transcript of the gene named KRIT1 ankyrin repeat containing, with no coding region annotated. The transcript has 20 exons. The record is from RefSeq and is a predicted model, not a curated record. Lineage: Eukaryota; Metazoa; Chordata; Mammalia; Dasyuromorphia; Dasyuridae.
GCGGGACGGGGCGGUGACCCGGGGUAGGCGGUUCCAGCCCGCAGCCCGAGGCACCGGAGGAAGACGCGGCGCUGGGUUAAGAGGGGCCGGGGCUGCGGUGGCUAUAGGUCGGCCUGGCCCCGGAAGUCGGGCUGCGCCGUUGUGAUCGUCGUAGGCGAGGGCGGGGAUGCGGAGGCGGCGACUGCCGUCUUCCCUCCCCGAUCGGCUCGGCCCUGCCCGCGCGGCUCGGUUAAUUUAAUGCCACUAAGUGCCGGAUUGAGAGUCUCAGAAAGAACUGUUACCUCCCCCUAAGAACAAGUAAAGCCUGGAUGUCAUAAGCCAUGGGAAAUCCAGAAAAUAUAGAAGAUGCAUAUGUUGCUGUCAUUCGUCCAAAGAAUACUGCCAGUCUCAAUUCUCGGGAAUAUCGAGCUAAAUCAUAUGAAAUUUUGUUGCUUGAAGUUCCCAUUGAAGGACAAAAGAAAAAAAGGAAAAAGGUUUUACUUGAAACUAAACUUCAGGGGAGUAGUGAAAUAACACAAAGCAUUUUGGAUUAUGUAGUAGAAACUACCAAACCAAUUUCUCCUGCCAAUCAGGGUAUCAAAGGAAAACGAGUAGUAUUAAUGAAGAAAUUUCCUCUCGAUGGAGAAAAAGUGGGCAAAGAGGCAUCUUUAUUUAUUGUUCCAUCAGUUGUCAAAGAUAAUACUAAAUAUUCAUAUAGUCCAGGAUGUCCAGUUUUCUACUGUUUACAAGAUAUCAUGCGAGUCUGUAGUGAAUCCAGCACUCACUUUGCCACUCUUACAGCAAGAAUGUUAAUUGCUCUGGAUAAGUGGUUAGAUGAGCGACAUGCACAAUCUCAUUUCAUUCCAGCUUUAUUCCGACCUUCUCCUCUUGAGCGGAUAAAAACUAAUGUCAUCAACCCAGCAUAUGCCACUGAACCAAGCCAGAUAGAAAAUUCACUUCAUAUGGGCUAUAGUGCAUUAGAAAUAAAAAGUAAGAUGUUAGCCUUGGAAAAAGCAGAUACUUGUAUCUAUAAUCCUUUGUUUGGGUCAGAUCUGCAGUAUACAAACAGGGUAGAUAAAGUGGUAAUAAAUCCAUACUUUGGCCUUGGAGCUCCAGAUUAUUCAAAAAUUCAGAUUCCUAAGCAAGAAAAGUGGCAGAGAAGCAUGAGCAGUGUUACAGAAGACAAAGAACAUCAGUGGGUAGAUGAUUUCCCUCUUCAUCGAAGUGCUUGUGAAGGAGAUUCAGAAUUAUUAAACCGUCUUCUCAAUGAUAGUUUUUCAGUAAACCAGCUAGAUAAUGACCACUGGGCACCUAUUCAUUAUGCAUGCUGGUAUGGAAAAGUUGAGGCCACUCGCAUACUGUUAGAAAAAGGAAAGUGUAAUCCAAACCUCUUAAAUGGACAGCUUAGUUCUCCCCUUCAUUUUGCUGCUGGAGGAGGACAUGUUGAAAUAGUGCAAAUCCUUCUAAACCAUCCAGAAGUGGACAGACACAUUAUUGACCAGCAAGGAAGGUCUCCUUUAAAUGUCUGUGAAGAAAACAAACAGAAUGACUGGGAGGAGACUGCAAAACUGUUGAAGGAAGCCAUAAACAAACCAUAUGAAAAGGUACGGAUAUAUCGAAUGGAUGGAUCUUACCGUUCUGUUGAACUAAAACAUGGGAACAAUACCACAGUACAACAGAUUAUGGAAGGAAUGCGUCUUUCUCAUGAAACACAGCAGUAUUUCACUAUUUGGAUCUGUUCAGAAAAUCUCAGCCUUCAGCUGAAGCCCUAUCACAAACCUUUACAACAUGUUCGUGACUGGCCAGAAAUAUUGAAUGAAUUGACAAAUUUGGAUCCUCAAAGGGAAACGCCACAGCUUUUCCUAAGAAGAGAUGUGAGACUUCCACUGGAAGUUGAGAAAAAGAUUGAAGACCCAUUAGCCAUUCUUAUUCUCUUUGAUGAAGCCAGAUAUAAUUUGCUGAAAGGCUUUUAUACAUCUCCUGAUGCUAAGUUGAUAACACUGGCAAGUCUACUGUUGCAGAUAGUUUAUGGGAAUUAUGAAAGUAAAAAGCACAAACAAGGUUUCCUCAAUGAAGAAAAUCUAAAAUCCAUAGUUCCAAUCACCAAAUUGAAAAGUAAGGCACCUCACUGGACAAAUAGAAUACUUCACGAAUACAAGAAUCUUAGUACAAGUGAAGGUGUCAGUAAGGAAAUGCACCACCUUCAACGCAUGUUCUUACAGAAUUGCUGGGAAGUUCCUACAUAUGGAGCAGCAUUUUUUACAGGACAAGUCUUUACCAAAGCAAGUUCUAGCAGCCAUAAAGUCAUUCGAGUUUAUGUAGGCGUAAAUAUAAAAGGGCUACAUCUCCUUAAUAUGGAAACAAAGACUUUACUCAUCAGUCUCAAAUAUGGUUGCUUUAUGUGGCAGUUGGGAGAUGCUGAUACCUGCUUUCAGAUUCACAGUCUGGAAAAUAAAAUGAGCUUUAUAGUACACACCAAACAGGCAGGUCUUGUCGUAAAACUGCUCUUGAAGCUUAAUGGACAGUUAAUGCCUACUGAGAGAAAUGAAUGAUUCUGAAGAAGUCUUGUGAACACAGAUUUCUUUCACUGACUGCCAGCUUUAUCAAGAUAUUUAGCCUGUUGUAUUAUGUUCUCAGGACUUAAUACAGUGCCCAUCACCAAGUAAGCAACUUUAACCAAUGCUUUUUGAUUGGCUUAUUUAGCAAAGUAUUCCCAUAGAUCCUCUGCCAUUGCUCACAUCCUAGCAGCCAUAUUUAGCCUUGAAUAGGAAAGAAAGGAGUGAAGGGCUUUGUAGUAAGAUGCCUAUUAUUUCUUAAGCACCUCAAGUAGUUACCAUCGUGACAGAUCUGCCCUCUCUACUUCUUUACCUUGUGAUACCAGGAAAAGACUCCUCCAUCAGGCACAUAUGUAUAUGUGCUUGUAUAUAUGCUGCCCUCAGUCUUUACCUAAUAGUUUGGGUUUUGGUGGUUUUUUUUGGGUUUUUUUUUUUUUUUUGGUUUGUUUUUUUAAGGAACAACUUCUAUUGAAACUAAUAUAUUUUUGUGUUUGAUAAAAUGUGAUUACAAAAGAAAUAUGAAAACCUUUCCCUGUCCCCAGUGUCCUUCAGACCCAAGGGCAAUUUAUAGGAAGAAGCAAAAGUAAUGUGAAUUAGCACAUGAAACAAUUUAGAAGUUUAGUAAACAGCAAAUUUACCUAAUCUUAUUUGCUUCAGUUUUCUAAUCUGUAAAAUGAACCAGAGAAAGAAAUGGCAAACCCCUCCAGUAUCUCAGCCAGGAAAACCCUUGAAGGGGUCAUGAAGAGUGAGACCAGAUUGAAAAGAAUGAAAAACAAAAUGUUAAAGUUUCUGGUACUGACUAAAAUAGAAUUCAGAGAAAGGAGGGAGGGCUGUGGCAAGUGAAGUCCAUGGAGGAAUUCACAAAAAGAAAAAAGCCAGGCUAAGUUUUUUUAUGGACAGGUAAAGAGUAGCAGGACUGGCUUGUGCAAUGAUGGGGAAGUAAGAAUAAUAGUGACAUGUACCCAGAAUACCUUCAGGCAUUGGUGGGCAGAAUGGGUUACAAUGGGUCACGAAAAGUUAAAGGAAGAUGAUCUUAAAAAAAACUUCAGAACUCCAUUCCAUGCAAUCUGGACUCUUGACUAACAAUGGAAUGUAUCUCUUCUCAAUAGAGAGGUGGUAGACUACAGAGAUGGAAUAAAGCAGGCACCUCAUCGGUCAUGGCCAUGGCUGAUGGGAUUUGUUAACUGAUGCUUUGCUGGAAACAAGGGGAUUCUACUGGAAAGUGACAGUAAUGAGCUCAAACUGCUCCCAGCCUCCACCAAGAACUGUCCAUAAAACAAGCUUCCCUCAGCUCAGUUCCCUGCAGAGGACCUAACAUGCCAUGGCAAGGCACCUCUCUCUCCCCUUGGCAUAGUUGUAACCCCUUCCCGCUGAAAUGAUAUUCUCUUUCAGCCUGACUCCCUCUUUAUCUUUCUCAUCUAUUUCCCAAUAAGAUCUUAUUCACCUCUCUGUUGGGAUUUCUCUGCUGGAAGCAUUCUCUGCUAGAGGAUUUGUCUGCUAGAUCUUUAAUAAUAAACUUUCUUUGCCAGUUUAACUUUUCACAUUUGUAAGUUCAUUUAUGAAGAACCUGCGCCACCAGAAGGGGGUUCCCACAACUCCCUGUUCUGCACCAAACCUCAUCAUUUGACUCCCUGACUGGGAAUUGAGGGGAGCCGAACCUCUUCACAAGUGUAUUCACAUGAACUGCAAACUACAUUAGUUUCUUGGAGAAAGAAAGAAGUCACUCAAAACAUCAAUCAUGUGGACUUUGGGGACUGGUAGCAAAAGGCAAAUGAAGUUGAUCUAUAGUAAUUACAAAUGGGCUGGCCCUUCAGGCUUCAGGGAGAUAUGAAGCACAACUCCCUGGGCAAAUACAUGUGCAAUCUGCAAGGUUCAGUCCAAGCCUAAUGGCCCAGGUUGCAGUGGAUGACCUUGGCAUUUUUGAUUUUGAUCAAGCUCUUACGCACUCCACAGCUCUUGCCUUCGUGGCUAUUGGAACAAAUUGUUUUCAUCCACCCAUUUCGGGACAGGAGGAAAGGAGGAAGAAUCUUCAUAUUCUUGGGGUAGAUACACCUCUAACUCACUGAAAGGUUUGUGGAUUGUUGAUUACCCUUAAUUUGGUUUAGCCCAUAUGCCAAGAUUUUACUGGCAUGUAGCUGCUUCUUGGAGCCACAGGUGAGAGCUCAGUGCCAGGAGGACACAAAAUAUGGAUGAGCAACUGAAAUUCCUCAUGCCAGAGGUACUAGUCCUCCUGGAAUACCCAUAUACCCACCUAUCUCCAAUAGAGAAUAGAUGGACUCAGAGUGCAGAUGGAAGUAUGUUGUCUUUUUUUUUUUUUUUUUUUUUUU